GAAUUUUAGGGCGUCUACUUCGGUAGAGCCUGACCUCCACUCUCUAACACUGUGCACUCAUUGGCGGGAAUAGUAUGAGAUAAUAUCAAGUUCUAUUUUCCGCGGCUUAAUUUUUAAACAUUAGUCAAAGUAUGUAACGAAAUAUCGAAAUAAAAAAAAACUUUCAACAACGGAUCUCUUGGCUCU
Molecule: unclassified non-coding RNA, 186 nt
Filed under: rhizosphere metagenome
Description: partial ribosomal RNA internal transcribed spacer region
Source: RNAcentral